CCUACGGGAGGCAGCAGUGGGGGAUAUUGCACAAUGGGGGAAACCCUGAUGCAGCGACGCCGCGUGGGCGAAGAAGUAUUUCGGUAUGUAAAGCUCUAUCAGCAGGGAAGAAGAAAUGACGGUACCUGAGUAAGAAGCACCGGCUAAAUACGUGCCAGCAGCCGCGGUAAUACGUAUGGUGCAAGCGUUAUCCGGAUGUACUGGGUGGAAAGGGAGCGCAGGCGGCACGGCAAGCCUGAUGUGAAAGCCCGCGGCCCUACCGCGGGACUGCAGUGGGAACUACCGGGCUGGAGUGCCGGAGAGGUAGGCGGAAUUCCUAGUGUAGCGGUGAAAUGCGUAGAUAUUAGGAGGAACACCAGUGGCGAAGGCGGCCUACUGGACGGUGACUGACGCUGAGGCUCGAAAGCGUGGGGAGCAAACAGGAUUAGAUACCCUUGUAGUC
Molecule: ribosomal RNA, 442 nt
Filed under: uncultured bacterium
Lineage: Bacteria
Description: partial 16S ribosomal RNA
Rfam family: Bacterial small subunit ribosomal RNA
Source: RNAcentral